This 497-nucleotide ribosomal RNA is filed under the name uncultured bacterium. RNAcentral describes it as "partial 16S ribosomal RNA". It matches the Rfam family "Bacterial small subunit ribosomal RNA", at positions 28 to 507 of the family's 1533-position model. The record is from RNAcentral.
GAUGAACGCUGGCGGCGUGCCUAAUACAUGCAAGUCGAGCGAACAGACGAGGAGCUUGCUCCUCUGACGUUAGCGGCGGACGGGUGAGUAACACGUGGAUAACCUACCUAUAAGACUGGGAUAACUUCGGGAAACCGGAGCUAAUACCGGAUAAUAUAUUGAACCGCAUGGUUCAAUAGUGAAAGACGGUUUUGCUGUCACUUAUAGAUGGAUCCGCGCCGCAUUAGCUAGUUGGUAAGGUAACGGCUUACCAAGGCAACGAUGCGUAGCCGACCUGAGAGUGUGAUCGGCCACACUGGAACUGAGACACGGUCCAGACUCCUACGGGAGGCAGCAGUAGGGAAUCUUCCGCAAUGGGCGAAAGCCUGACGGAGCAACGCCGCGUGAGUGAUGAAGGUCUUCGGAUCGUAAAACUCUGUUAUUAGGGAAGAACAAAUGUGUAAGUAACUAUGCACAUCUUGACGGUACCUAAUCAGAAAGCCACGGCUAACUACGUG